GUGAGGAAUAUUGGUCAAUGGGCGCAAGCCUGAACCAGCCAAGCCGCGUGCAGGAUUAAGGCCCUAUGGGUUGUAAACUGCUUUUAUACGGGAAGAAUCCCCCCGACGUGUCGGGGAUUGACGGUACUGUAUGAAUAAGCAUCGGCUAACUCCGUGCCAGCAGCCGCGGUAAUACGGAGGAUGCAAGCGUUAUCCGGAUUUAUUAGGUAUAAAGGGUGCGUAGGCGGGCUUGUAAGUCAGCGGUGAAAUACUACGGCUUAACCGUAGAACUGCCAUUGAUACUGCAGGUCUUGAGUACAGUUGAGGUAGGCGGAAUGUGUGGUGUAGCGGUGAAAUGCUUAGAUAUCACACAGAACACCGAUUGCGAAGGCAGCUUGCUAAGUUGUAACUGACGCUGAGGCACGAAAGCAUGGGGAGCAAACAGGAUUAGAAACCCUGGUAGUCC
Molecule: ribosomal RNA, 445 nt
Filed under: uncultured bacterium
Lineage: Bacteria
Description: bacterial SSU rRNA
Rfam family: Bacterial small subunit ribosomal RNA
Source: RNAcentral